AUGCGAAGCGAAGCAGUGAUGUGAAGCAAAUCGCACCAAAGCCAGUCUCAGUUCGGAUAAGAGGCUGAAACUCGCCUCUUUGAAGUCGGAAUCGCUAGUAAUCGCAGAUCAGCAUGUUGCGGUGAAUACGUUCCCGGGUCCUGUACACACCGCCCGUCAAACCAUGAGAGUCACCAACACCCGAAGUCCGUUUAGGCGGCCUAAGGUGGGGGAGAUGAUUGGGGUUAAGUCGUAACAAGGUAUC
Molecule: ribosomal RNA, 244 nt
Filed under: uncultured bacterium
Lineage: Bacteria
Description: partial 16S ribosomal RNA
Rfam family: Bacterial small subunit ribosomal RNA
Source: RNAcentral